This 646-nucleotide long non-coding RNA is filed under the name Elaeis guineensis (African oil palm). RNAcentral describes it as "long non-coding RNA (EGUI_LNC022923)". Lineage: Eukaryota; Viridiplantae; Streptophyta; Magnoliopsida; Arecales; Arecaceae. The record is from RNAcentral.
UCCCAUGGCUGUGCCUGCUCUCCUCACUCCCAAAAAGCAUGGAAUAUGACAAAUAUGUGUAGAUAGUUGUGCUAUCAACAAGAUCAUGGUAAAGUAUAGGUUCCCCAUCACUAGGCUCGAUGACAUGCUUGACAUGCUAGGGGAUGCGAAGAUAUUCUCUAAGGUCGACCUGAAGAGCGGAUAUCACCAGAUCCGUAUCCGACUAGAAGACAAGUGAAAAACGGCAUUCAAAACCAAAGGACUAUAUGAAUGAUUGGUUAUGCCCUUCGAGCUAUCCAAUGCCCCAAGCACUUUCAUGUGUAUCCCAAAUCAGGUGUUAUGGCCGUUCACUGAAAAAUUCGUUGUGGUAUACUUCGAUAACAUUUUGAACUAUAGCACGAGUCCUGAACUUCAUCUAAACCAUCUACGACAAAUGCUUCAGAUCAUGAGAGAAAAUCAGUUAUAUCUAAACCUUAAGAAGUAUACCUUUUUAAUUGAUAGCCUCAUCUUCCUAGGUUAUAUUGUCUGUCAAGGGAAUUAAAGUAGAUCCCACUAAAAUCAAAGUGAUUCAAGAUUGGGCAAUAACUAAGAUUUAAAGCUUUCCUGGACUUGUAUCAUCCUAUAGGCACUUCAUUCACAAUUUCAGUUCCUUAAUUGCCCCGAUCAC